Molecule: ribosomal RNA, 482 nt
Filed under: uncultured bacterium
Lineage: Bacteria
Description: partial 16S ribosomal RNA
Rfam family: Bacterial small subunit ribosomal RNA
Source: RNAcentral
AUUGAACGCUGGCGGCAUGCCUUACACAUGCAAGUCGAACGGUAACAGGUCUUCGGAUGCUGACGAGUGGCGAACGGGUGCGUAAUACAUCGGAACGUGCCCGAUCGUGGGGGAUAACGAGGCGAAAGCUUUGCUAAUACCGCAUACGAUCUACGGAUGACAGCGGGGGAUCUUCGGACCUCGCGCGGACGGAGCGGCCGAUGGCAGAUUAGGUAGUUGGUGGGAUAAAAGCUUACCAAGCCGACGAUCUGUAGCUGGUCUGAGAGGAUGAUCAGCCACACUGGGACUGAGACACGGCCCAGACUCCUACGGGAGGCAGCAGUGGGGAAUUUUGGACAAUGGGCGAAAGCCUGAUCCAGCCAUGCCGCGUGCAGGAUGAAGGCCUUCGGGUUGUAAACUGCUUUUGUACGGAACGAAAAGCCUCUUUCUAAUAAAGAGGGGUCAUGACGGUACCGUAAGAAUAAGCACCGGCUAACUACGUG